GUGCCAGCCGCCGCGGUAAGACGAACCGUACAAACGUUAUUCGGAAUCACUGGGCUUAAAGGGUGCGUAGGCGGCCCGGAAAGUUGGGUGUGAAAUCCCUCGGCUCAACCGAGGAAUUGCGCCCAAAACUGCCGGGCUUGAGGAAGACAGAGGCAAGCGGAACUUAGGGUGGAGCGGUGAAAUGCGUUGAUAUCCUAAGGAACACCGGUAGCGAAGGCGGCUUGCUGGGUCUUUUCUGACGCUGAGGCACGAAAGCUAGGGGAGCGAACGGGAUUAGAAACCCCCGUAGUCC
Molecule: ribosomal RNA, 292 nt
Filed under: uncultured bacterium
Lineage: Bacteria
Description: partial 16S ribosomal RNA
Rfam family: Bacterial small subunit ribosomal RNA
Source: RNAcentral